Non-coding RNA from Dicentrarchus labrax (European seabass), 442 nucleotides. The record is from the annotation of a RefSeq genome assembly. NCBI's taxonomy places the organism in Eukaryota, Metazoa, Chordata, Actinopteri, Moronidae.
GCCAGUGUUGAUCAGUGGCUGUCCAGGCCUUUCAGAGCCACUGACACGCCGGCAGCACAAUGAGGAUGUCACUGACUCUACUGCUGGCCACCCUGGGGCUCCUUGUUCAGGAUUCAUCAGGAGAAAUCAUCCUGACUCAGUCUCCUAAAGCUCAGUCUGUUGUUCCAGGACAGACUGUCUCUAUCAGAUGUAAAGCCAGUUCAGGUGUUACCAAUGAUUUGCAGUGGUACCUUCAGAAACCUGGAGAAGCUCCUAAACUCCUCAUUUAUAAUGCUCAGUCCCGUCAGUCUGGAGUUUCAGAGCGUUUCAGUGGGAGUCAGUCUGGAACUGACUUCACUUUGACCAUCAGUGGAGUUCAGACUGAAGAUGCAGGAGUUUAUUACUGUCAGCAGGAUUACAGCAGACCGUUCACACAGUGAAAAAGUGUCAUACAAAAACCUCC